GACAGAGGAGCCAAGCGUUGUCCGGAUUGACUGGGCGUAAAGCGCACGCAGGCGGCCCGGCGCGUGGGGUGUGAAAGCUGGCGGCUUAACUGCCAGACGCCAUCCCAUACGGCUGGGCUCGAGCCCUGCAGAGGUCCAUGGAAUUGCCGGUGUAGUGGUGAAAUGCGUAGAGAUCGGCAGGAACACCCAGGGGGAAACCAGUGGACUGGGCAGGAGCUGACGCUCAGGUGCGAAAGCAUGGGGGGCGAACAGG
Molecule: ribosomal RNA, 253 nt
Filed under: uncultured bacterium
Lineage: Bacteria
Description: partial 16S ribosomal RNA
Rfam family: Bacterial small subunit ribosomal RNA
Source: RNAcentral